AUUGAACGCUGGCGGCAGGCCUAACACAUGCAAGUCGAACGGUAACAGGAAGCAGCUUGCUGCUUCGCUGACGAGUGGCGGACGGGUGAGUAAUGUCUGGGAAACUGCCUGAUGGAGGGGGAUAACUACUGGAGACGGUAGCUAAUACCGCAUAAUGUCGCAAGACCAAGGAGGGGGACCUUCGGGCCUCUUGCCAUCGGAUGUGCCCAGAUGGGAGUAGCUUGUUGGUGGGGUAACGGCUCACCAAGGCGACGAUCCCUAGCUGGUCUGAGGGGAUGACCAGCCACACUGGAACUGAGACACGGUCCAGACUCCUACGGGAGGCAGCAGUGGGGAAUAUUGCACAAUGGGCGCAAGCCUGAUGCAGCCAUGCCGCGUGUAUGAAGGAGGCCUUCGGGUUGUAAAGUACUUUCAGCGGGGAGGAAGGGAGGAAAAUUAAUACCUUUGCUCAUUGACGUUACCCGCAGAAGAAGCACCGGCUAACUCCGUGCCAGCCGCCGCAGUAA
This 506-nucleotide ribosomal RNA is filed under the name uncultured bacterium. RNAcentral's name for it is "partial 16S ribosomal RNA". It matches the Rfam family "Bacterial small subunit ribosomal RNA", at positions 30 to 523 of the family's 1533-position model. The record is from RNAcentral.